RNAcentral lists this ribosomal RNA (305 nucleotides) under uncultured bacterium. Its description in RNAcentral is "bacterial SSU rRNA". It matches the Rfam family "Bacterial small subunit ribosomal RNA", at positions 334 to 637 of the family's 1533-position model. The record is from RNAcentral.
AAUACCACGGGGGGCAGCAGUAGGGAAUCUUCCACAAUGGGCGGAAGCCUGAACCAGCCAAGUCGCGUGAGGGAAUAAGGCCCUACGGGUCGUAAACCUCUUUUGCCGGGGAGCAAGGGCCGGGACGAGUCCCGGUCCGGAGAGUACCCGGAGAAAAAGCAUCGGCUAACUCCGUGCCAGCAGCCGCGGUAAUACGGAGGAUGCGAGCGUUAUCCGGAUUUAUUGGGUUUAAAGGGUGCGUAGGCGGGCUUUUAAGUCAGCGGUAAAAAUUCGGGGCUCAACCCCGUCCGGCCGUUGAAACUGGG